This 302-nucleotide long non-coding RNA is filed under the name Sinocyclocheilus grahami. RNAcentral describes it as "lncRNA (ENSSGRG00000011344.1)". The record is from RNAcentral. Lineage: Eukaryota; Metazoa; Chordata; Actinopteri; Cypriniformes; Cyprinidae.
UCAUGGAGUGUCACAUGACACGCUCAGGUCACAUGAUAAAAUGACAGACAAAUAAAGUCAAACUCAGCAGAGCUCAGCAGCGUUAUAUCCACUCCACCGGAUCCAGUUUUACUCUGAUAUCUUCACUGGUCUCGUGAGAAUACCCGCAAGAAAGUCUUUCAUGGGUUUGCAUCUGAAAAUUUAAAGAGCGUUAGUUUUGUGGAUCAACAAUCACACACAGAAUGGUGCGUGCGGGUGUCGUAGUGUUAUUAUGUGUGUGUCUGAAUGUGUGUGGCGCUCUGAUUUGUCCUGAUGGAGGGAUG